This is a long non-coding RNA of Saccostrea echinata, 214 nucleotides long. RefSeq lists it as uncharacterized. NCBI's taxonomy places the organism in Eukaryota, Metazoa, Mollusca, Bivalvia, Ostreida, Ostreidae. The record is from RefSeq and is a predicted model, not a curated record. The transcript is spliced from 3 exons.
GCUCUGUCGACAUCCUUAUCAUACCAUCUGACAGUCAUGCGGGUCAAGUGGUAAAGCUUUGUGUAAAAGCAUCACAACAUGACUCUAAACUCUCGGAGAUGAGAUGUUAUGCUGUUGAGUACGUAGAACACAACACAACUCCAACAAUGGCACAACGGACAAUAAACACAGACUUGGGAAAUGUGUUUGGGUGAAUUUGCAUUCAACAAUGGAG